RNAcentral lists this ribosomal RNA (253 nucleotides) under uncultured bacterium. RNAcentral describes it as "partial 16S ribosomal RNA". It matches the Rfam family "Bacterial small subunit ribosomal RNA", at positions 524 to 776 of the family's 1533-position model. The record is from RNAcentral.
GACAGAGGGUGCAAGCGUUGUUCGGAAUUAUUGGGCGUAAAGGGCGCGUAGGCGGCGACGAAAGUCGGACGUGAAAUCCCUGGGCUCAACCCAGGAAGUGCAUCCGAUACUGCGUUGCUUGAAUCCCGGAGAGGGUGGUGGAAUUCCUGGUGUAGAGGUGAAAUUCGUAGAUAUCAGGAGGAACACCGGUGGCGAAGGCGACCACCUGGACGGAGAUUGACGCUGAGGCGCGAAAGCGUGGGGAGCAAACAGG